This is a long non-coding RNA of Lathyrus oleraceus (garden pea), 894 nucleotides long. RefSeq lists it as uncharacterized. Lineage: Eukaryota; Viridiplantae; Streptophyta; Magnoliopsida; Fabales; Fabaceae. The record is from RefSeq and is a predicted model, not a curated record. The transcript has 4 exons.
UCGAUACUGACACAUACUCACAUUUUUUCUAGAGAGGUGUCAUUAGUACAUAGAAUUCAACUACUAUCAUAAUUUUUUUUUUGAUACCUUAAUCCAAACACUACUUUAAAUACACAUGAGCAUUUACGAUUUAAUAUAAUACUGUGGAUGAUGCUAUGGAAAUUGACUCCGACAUUGUCUUGGAUGAUGUUGCCAAUGUUGUAGAGUACUGUGUCGGACGGGGAAUGGGUCUUGAUCUUCAUGAGCAUGCUUGUUUUGCCUUCUGCCGUACUCUUGAAAUGGGUCUUGUACCGCUGAGUUCUGUAUUAAAGCUAUUUCAAUUUUGCACCUUCUCCGAUUGAAAGAUUUUCAGGGGAGCAAGUUAUGGUUGAGCCCCAUGGAUUGCAUGUUGCUCGCAUAUCAUACCGCUUCCUUCUUUUGAAACCUGAAAAAUUCUCAAAGCUUUGGGACUGGUCUUGUUUUCUAGAACCCUUAAAAAAGCCUUGCGAAUCAGAUCUGAUAUGGUGUAGGUUUCAUAUAUUAAAAGUUGUGUUCAAAUUAGGUUCAAGAGCUAGUGAAAGCUCGAAUAUUGAAGCUCAGGAAGUAUCUGUCUGUUUAUCGCGCUGGGAAGAGUUUUGUGGGGACACAACAAUAGAGAGAGCUGGUUGGUUGGUUGAACCAACAGCAGACUACAUGUCUGAUUCUCCUAAUAGAAACAUGGAUUUCAAUCAAGAGAACUGUUUAAAUUCUUUAAGAUGUAAUUAUCAUCCUGUUGGUUCGCCAAAGGUACACGAGGUGCAACCGCCUCUUAGGACCAAAAGAGCUGUCACAAGGUACACCUUGUGUAAUUUUACUCAGUAGUAUAACUUAAACACCGUCCAACUGCUUCCAAUUAUACUGUUUGAACUUUCUUAA